UUUCAAUACAAAACCCUCAUAACUACUCACAAAAUUAUUUCCUUUUUCUUUCUCAAAAUUAUCCUCAUCAGUUAGAAAAUAUUUUUUCUUCCAGCUUUGCAUACUGAAAUUGAUAUUUCUACGAAUACCUUGAAAGCACCUUUUCUCUAUUGACUGAGAAACACAAACACCAUCAAUUUGUUUCUUUUCCUUAUUAAUUUCAUUGACAUAACAAGAUCCUAACACCAUAGAAUCACUCUCAAUCAUUUUG
Molecule: unclassified non-coding RNA, 250 nt
Filed under: Hevea brasiliensis (rubber tree)
Lineage: Eukaryota; Viridiplantae; Streptophyta; Magnoliopsida; Malpighiales; Euphorbiaceae
Source: RNAcentral